CNUGCAGUCGACGAUGAUGGAGGAGCUUGCUCUUCCUGAUUAGUGGCGCANNNNNUGAGUAACGCAUAGGUAAUGUGCCCCUUAGAGAGGGAUAGCCACUGGAAACGGUGAUUAAUACCUCAUACUCCUUCUUGUCAUAAGGCGAGUCGGGAAAUGUUUUUCGCUAAGGGAUCAGCCUAUGUCCUAUCAGCUAGUUGGUGAGGUAAUGGCUCACCAAGGCAAUGACGGGUAUCUGGUUUGAGAGGAUGAUCAGACACACUGGAACUGAGACACGGUCCAGACUCCUACGGGAGGCAGCAGUGAGGAAUAUUGCACAAUGGAGGAAACUCUGAUGCAGCAACGCCGCGUGGAGGAUGACGCAUUUCGGUGUGUAAACUCCUUUUAAGAGGGAAGAUAAUGACGGUACCUCUUGAAUAAGCACCGGCUAACUCCGUGCCAGCAGCCGCGGUAAUACGGAGGGUGCAAGCGUUACUCGGAAUCACUGGGCGUAAAGGGUGCGCAGGCUGACUUUUAAGUCAGGCGUGAAAUCCAAUGGCUUAACCAUUGAACUGCGCUUGAAACUGGGAGUCUAGAGUUCAGAAGGGGCAGAUGGAAUUAGUGGUGUAGGGGUAAAAUCCGUAGAUAUCACUAGGAAUAUCAAAAGCGAAGGCGAUCUGCUGGGAUGAUACUGACGCUGAGGCACGAAAGCGUGGGGAGCAAACAGGAUUAGAUACCNNNGUAGUCCACGCCCUAAACGAUGAAUGCUAGUCGUCGG
This 754-nucleotide ribosomal RNA is filed under the name uncultured bacterium. RNAcentral's name for it is "bacterial SSU rRNA". It matches the Rfam family "Bacterial small subunit ribosomal RNA", at positions 54 to 826 of the family's 1533-position model. The record is from RNAcentral.